Molecule: long non-coding RNA, 942 nt
Organism: Parus major (Great Tit)
Lineage: Eukaryota; Metazoa; Chordata; Aves; Passeriformes; Paridae
Exons: 2
Source: RefSeq, a predicted model, not a curated record
CCUGAUGGAUGGAUGAAUGCAGAGACCCAGAAACAGGGAACUCAUAACUUGGAUGGCAAGUUUUUUAUGGAAUGAGCUGAAUUUAAGCCUUCAGAUCUUUGUUCUCAUCCAGCUGGAUCCCAAGCCUGCAAGGAAACAAAAAGAAAAACUUCCCUGUGAGCUGGGGAGCUUCAAAGCAAAUUUAGAACUGUCACCUCUGCUCCGGGGAGGAAACACCGAAACCCUGGAGCUGCGGUGAUUUUAUGAGAGCCCUGAGAAAAAGGCUGAAGGAGAAAAGAGUAAUCCCAGCAUGGAGAGAGGGAGAACAGACCUUGUGCUGAGCUCCUCCACCUGAGAUUCCAGGGACAGCUCGGACAGGGCUGCAGGGAGCUGCUCUCUGUCACCCUCCUGCAAGGGGAGGCUUGGCUGGGCUGUGGAUUCAAUCACAGAAUGGAGUUUCAGUAAAACAGCAAAUCAGUUUUGGCAGCACGCUGAGUUAAUAUCAAAAAACAAUGAGUAAAUAUUCUGUAAAAUCAUGUACUUAAUCUCUCAAAUAAAUAUUUAAUCUCCUAAAUUCUAUGCUACAUCCAUAACAUAUCAUAAAUAUAUGACAGAACUAUUUUAAUUUCCUUUCAUGAUGAAUUUUCAUUUCAGGGCUAAAUAUGUGCCUAACGUGUAAGGAGGAAAACAAUGAAUCUGUAACAUUGAAGUGACCAAAACAAGAGGUGUAAAACAGCUGGAAAGGAUUAAUUUGAUGUUAAUUUUUUAAUUGUGUUCCAAAUUAUGACAGCUGUUGCUUCCUGAAUGUCUGGGAUAAAGCUUGCAUGUGGCACCCAUUGAAGUGACUUUUGUAAAGAACUUUGAUCCUCAGCAUAAACAAAAUGUAGAUUCUGUACUUCAAGGUGUAUUUCAGAACAAGGCUCUAACUCAGGAAUGCUUUCCUAAAUAAAGCUAUAUCCAAAA